GGACCUCAGAUCAGGCAAGAUUACCCGCUGAGUUUAA
Molecule: ribosomal RNA, 37 nt
Filed under: Odontoschisma pseudogrosseverrucosum
Lineage: Eukaryota; Viridiplantae; Streptophyta; Jungermanniopsida; Jungermanniales; Cephaloziaceae
Description: partial 26S ribosomal RNA
Source: RNAcentral